CAAUAGCGUAUAUUAAAGUUGUUGCAGUUAAAAGCUCGUAGUUGGAUUUCUGGCAGGAGCGACCGGUCGCACGCUAUGCGUGUGAACUUGUGUUGUCUCUGGCCAUCCUUGGGGAGAUCCCGUUUGGCAUUAAGUUGUCGGGGCGGGGGAUACCCAUCGUUUACUGUGAAAAAUUAGAGUGUUUAAAGCAAGGCUUAUGCCGUUGAAUAUAUUAGCAUGGAAUAAUAAGAUAGGACUUUGAGUCUAUUUUGUUUGGUUUGCUGAGUCAAAGUAAUAGAUUAAUAGGGUACAGGUUGGGGGUAUUCGGUAUUUUCAUUGUCAUGAG
Molecule: ribosomal RNA, 325 nt
Filed under: uncultured eukaryote
Lineage: Eukaryota
Description: bacterial SSU rRNA
Rfam family: Eukaryotic small subunit ribosomal RNA
Source: RNAcentral